Molecule: ribosomal RNA, 484 nt
Filed under: uncultured bacterium
Lineage: Bacteria
Description: partial 16S ribosomal RNA
Rfam family: Bacterial small subunit ribosomal RNA
Source: RNAcentral
AUUGAACGCUGGCGGCAGGCCUAACACAUGCAAGUCGAGCGGAUGAAGGGAGCUUGCUCCUGGAUUCAGCGGCGGACGGGUGAGUAAUGCCUAGGAAUCUGCCUGGUAGUGGGGGAUAACGUCCGUAAACGGGCGCUAAUACCGCAUCCGUCCUGAGGGAGAAAGUGGGGGAUCUUCGGACCUCACGCUAUCAGAUGAGCCUAGGUCGGAUUAGCUAGUUGGUGGGGUAAAGGCCUACCAAGGCGACGAUCCGUAACUGGUCUGAGAGGCUGAUCAGUCACACUGGAACUGAGACACGGUCCAGACUCCUACGGGAGGCAGCAGUGGGGAAUAUUGGACAAUGGGCGAAAGCCUGAUCCAGCAAUGCCGCGUGUGUGAAGAAGGUCUUCGGAUUGUAAAGCACUUUUAGUUGGGAGGAAGGGCAGUAAGUUAAUACCUUGCUGUUUUGACGGUACCAACAGAAUAAGCACCGGCUAACUUCGUG